GCCUUUGUGGUGUAGUGGUCAGCACGCUCGACGCGUAACCGAGAGGUCCGUGGUUCGACUCCCGAUGAAGGCA
Molecule: transfer RNA, 73 nt
Filed under: Stegodyphus mimosarum
Lineage: Eukaryota; Metazoa; Arthropoda; Arachnida; Araneae; Eresidae
Rfam family: tRNA
About the family: Transfer RNA (tRNA) molecules are approximately 80 nucleotides in length. Their secondary structure includes four short double-helical elements and three loops (D, anti-codon, and T loops).
Source: Rfam by way of RNAcentral